Molecule: ribosomal RNA, 402 nt
Filed under: uncultured Hyphomicrobiales bacterium
Lineage: Bacteria; Pseudomonadati; Pseudomonadota; Alphaproteobacteria; Hyphomicrobiales
Description: bacterial SSU rRNA
Rfam family: Bacterial small subunit ribosomal RNA
Source: RNAcentral
AGUGGGGAAUCUUGGACAAUGGGCGCAAGCCUGAUCCAGCCAUGCCGCGUGAGUGAAGAAGGCCCUAGGGUUGUAAAGCUCUUUCGGCGGGGACGAUAAUGACGGUACCCGCAGAAGAAGCCCCGGCUAACUCCGUGCCAGCAGCCGCGGUAAUACGGAGGGGGCUAGCGUUGUUCGGAAUUACUGGGCGUAAAGCGCACGUAGGCGGACUGUUAAGUCGGGGGUGAAAUCCUGGGGCUCAACCUCAGAAUUGCCUCCGAUACUGGCAGUCUCGAGUGCGGGAGAGGUGAGUGGAAUUCCCAGUGUAGAGGUGAAAUUCGUAGAUAUUGGGAAGAACACCAGUGGCGAAGGCGGCUCACUGGCCCGUAACUGACGCUGAGGUGCGAAAGCGUGGGGAGCAAA